Molecule: ribosomal RNA, 271 nt
Filed under: uncultured bacterium
Lineage: Bacteria
Description: partial 16S ribosomal RNA
Rfam family: Bacterial small subunit ribosomal RNA
Source: RNAcentral
UACGUAGGAUCCGAGCGUUGUCCGGAAUUACUGGGUGUAAAGGGUCUGCAGGCGGGCAAACAAGUCGGUGGUGAAAUCCUAUAGCUCAACUAUAGAACUGCCUCCGAUACUGUUUGUCUUGAGUUCGAGAGAGGGUAAUGGAAUUCAUGGUGUAGCGGUGAAAUGCGUAGAUAUCAUGAAGAACACCGGUUGCGAAGGCGAUUACCUGGCUCGACACUGACGCUCAGGGACGAAAGCGUGGGGAUCAAACAGGAUUAGAUACCCUUGUAGU